This is a non-coding RNA of Maylandia zebra (zebra mbuna), 1750 nucleotides long. NCBI's taxonomy places the organism in Eukaryota, Metazoa, Chordata, Actinopteri, Cichliformes, Cichlidae. The record is from RefSeq and is a predicted model, not a curated record.
UUCACGCUCAUAAACCCGCGGCAGACUGUGGAGCACGGUGGACAGCAAACGGAAGGCAGGCAGGAGUUUGUAAAGAGGUUGUCCAAAGUUGUUUGGUCGAAAAAGUUGGCGGCAGGUGCUGCUGAACUUCAAAACAUCUUCAUCCUGCAACAUCUGGACUCACAACUCGUCUUACCGUUCUUGUCUUGUUUACGGAACACCCACAGCUGACAGAAACAGCCAGAAAACACGGGCCGGAUUACCGGAUUACGGUGCUAGACGGAUUUACAGAACGGUGCAGAGUGCACCCAGAGUCCAGCAGAGUGCAGAAGGCACUGGAAAAAAUCAAAUCAGUGAAGUUGGUUCAGAGUGAAGGACACACCGAACUCAGAAAACAUGGCUUGUACAUCACAGUCUGCCAAAGAUUAUGUAAAGACUGCCAGAGUCCAUCUUGUGAGAGAAUUGAAGAAUCUGUCUGUGAUUGUGCAGAAUUUGAAUCAGAAAGGGGUUCUUGGUGAGGAAGAGGUCAGCUUAAUACAGACAGAGAAAACUGAUGAAAACAAAAGAAGAAUGAUACUGGACUCAGUCAUUAAAAAAGGCGAAGAAGCCUGCUAUGAGUUACUCAAGAUUAUAGACAUGACGAGGAAGAGGACUUUAGGGAGGCUUCCUUUUCUUUCUGAGAAAACGAAUGAAACUUCCAGAGAGACCAAGUUUGACCUGCACCACUGGAUCAGCUGCUUUUCUUUCAAGGAAGAACCACAAAUGGACAGGAACUACUUACAAGAGCAACAUAUGCCCACAUCCAGACGACAACCUUUUCAGGGAAGGCCUUGCAUAUUUUGGCAAUAAGUUGCUAAACUGAAGACUGUUUGUGGUAGAAGAGUUUUGGUGCUGAGCUGGCUGGUCUGCAGUCCAAACCUUUCGCCAGCUUAAAACAGUUGGUACAUGAAACCGAAGAUAUGACAAAGAAGACCCAGGACUGAGUACAUAGAAUCCUACAUCAGACACAAAUGGGACAACAUUCCCCCUACAAAAGUUCAGCAACUGGUCUCCUUAGUUCCCAAAAAUCCAUGUUCAGUGUUGUUAAAAGAAGAGGGGAUGCUACACAAUGGGGGGGGAAAAUGCACCUGUUGAGACUGUCAUUGCUGUCAAAAUCAAGAUGAACUAAAUAUGACAAAUAUAUCAUUUUCAGUCUCUCCUUUUGCCUUCAAAACUGCCUUAAUUCGUUGUGGCACAGAUUCAACAAGGUGCUAGAAACAUUCCAUAGAUAUUUUGGUCCAUUUUGACAUGAUGGCAUCACAUAGUUGCUGCAGAUUUGUCAGCUGUACGUCCAUGAUGUAAAUCUCCCAGCUCUGGACAGCCCAAAGGUACUUCGUUGGAUUGGGUUCUGACUGUGGAGACCAUUUGAGUACCAUGAACUACUUGCCAUGGUCAAACCAGUUACUUUAUUUGACAUGCUGUGUGUUCUCACUGGAUGCAGCCAUCACUGUCUUCAUAAAGCAAUGGACUCAGGUAGGCUGUGAAAAUCCCUGUAGAUCAGUAGUUUCUCAAAUACCCAGACCAGACCAUCUGGCCCAAACAGCAAUGCCAAUUUCAAUGUCAAUUAAAUAACCUUUCUUCUCCACUCUCUGAUAGUCAGUUUGAACUUCAGUAGGUUGUCUUGACCAUGUCCACAUGCCUAAAUACACUGGUGUCAUGUGAUUGACUGUUUACUUUAAUAAACUGUUGAACACCAGCUAUUUCGUUAGGUAUAUGUUCUACUGUAAAUAAA